CUGCUCAAUGCUUAAAUGUAAAUGGCCGCGGUAUUCUGACCGUGCUAAGGUAGCAUAAUCAUUUGUCUCUUGAUUAGAGGCUGGUAUGAAUGGCAAGACGAGGAGGUAACUGUCUCUUUUGUGAUAAUCGAAUUUCACUUCUGGGUGAAAAGGCUCAGAUAAAUUUGGAGGACGAUCAGACCCUAAAGAGCUUAAAUUUCUAUAGUGACUGUCUUAUUGGCUGUAAUACGAGGUUACUUGAAAGAUUUUAGUUGGGGCGACGAAGAGAAUUAAAUAACACUCUUUUUUAAGACCACUUAUAAGUGAACAAUUGAUCCCCCAUGCGGGAUUAGAAGACUAAGUUACCUUAGGGAUAACAGCGUAAUAUUCUUGGAGAGUUCUUAUCGAUAAGAAAGUUUGCGACCUCGAUGUUGGAUUAAGAAAUUAGUGAGGUGCAGAAGCUUCACUGGAAAGUCUGUUCGACUUUUAAUCUCUUACGUGAUCUGAGUUCA
RNAcentral lists this ribosomal RNA (491 nucleotides) under Evadne spinifera. Its description in RNAcentral is "partial 16S ribosomal RNA". It matches the Rfam family "Bacterial large subunit ribosomal RNA", at positions 1859 to 2613 of the family's 2925-position model. The record is from RNAcentral. Lineage: Eukaryota; Metazoa; Arthropoda; Branchiopoda; Diplostraca; Podonidae.